This is a long non-coding RNA of Peromyscus leucopus (white-footed mouse), 411 nucleotides long. RefSeq lists it as uncharacterized. The transcript is spliced from 3 exons. Lineage: Eukaryota; Metazoa; Chordata; Mammalia; Rodentia; Cricetidae. The record is from RefSeq and is a predicted model, not a curated record.
ACCUUCCUUUCAAAAACAUGCAUUUAUGAAUAGGACUCUGUGGUGGCUGACAUGUUGUUGCUGAGUUAGUAUAGUUGUGAGAACUGAGCCUGAAAAAGGGGCUUUACAAGACAUUUUUGUGUGGCUUGUUAUAGCCAGCCCAUUGGCUCUCCUGCCAUUUCACUAAUGUACAUCAGAUUUCACAGUGCAAAAUCAAAACUCGGACUACUGCAGUUAGUUCAUUAAUCAGCACCAGGACAUCGAGAGAGAACAACUCCAAAGUCUACUAGAAUGUAUGGAAUGUAGCAGAGACACAGAUCCCUGAACCUUGAGGGAAGGACUGAGUGCUUCAAAAUUUCUCAUUCUCUGCACAUUGCCCAGUUUACUGGGCCUAGCCUAUGAAACAAAGCCACCCACACUCAAGGUAAGUUU